This 13700-nucleotide long non-coding RNA is filed under the name Marmota monax (woodchuck). The record is from RNAcentral. Lineage: Eukaryota; Metazoa; Chordata; Mammalia; Rodentia; Sciuridae.
CAUCAUAACAUAUACAUUAGUAAAUUCUUCCUUACAGGUGGAACUCAGCCUCGGGAUCUGCUGAGUGUUUCUUAAACUUCCCUAGCAUCUGAGUCAAAUCUUUCUGCAUACUGCAGGGCACCAUUGCUUCUUGAUCUCUCAUAGUUGCAGUCCAGUGAUUUCAGAGAGACUACCUUAGACUGCCCUCCACUUGGCCAUGGUAAGUUUCUCCUGGGUCUGUCAUAGGUGAUUCACAGCCUUCCUUCACCUUCAUCCUGCAAAUCAUAAGCAUGCUCUAUGCACCAAAUUUCAACUUGUUCUUCUUACUGGCACGCAUAUGCCUGAUAAUGAGUUGAACUGGGAAAGGGAGUUUUGUUUUGUUUUGUUUUUGUUUGUUUGUUUGUUUGUUUAGUGCUGGGGAUUGAAUCCAGGAUUGAAUGCAUGCUAAGCAAGCACUCUAUCACUGAGCUACAUCCCUUGAAACCAGAGAUGCGUAACCACUGAGCCACAUCCCAAGCCCUAUUUAUUUAUUUAUUUUAUUUGUUCUAAUUAGAUAUAUAUGAUAGUAGAAUGCAUUUUGAUACAUUGUAUACAAAUGGAGCACAACUUCUCAUUCCUUUGGCUGUAUAUGGUGCAGAGUCCACUGGUAGUCAUACAUAUAUAGAGAGUAAUAUGUCCAUCUCAUUUUACCUUCCUUCCUACCCCAGCACCCUCUCCCCACCCUCUCACUCCCCUCUGCCCAAUCCAAAGUUCCUUCAUUCUUCCCCACACGCCACCUCCCCCCAUUAGGGAUCAGCAUUUGCUUAUCAGAGAAAACAUUCACUCUUUGGUUUUUCUGGUUUGGCUUAUUUCACUUAGCUUGAUGUUCUCCAGCUCUGUCCAUUUACCUGAAAAUGCCAUAAUUUAAUUCUUCUUUAUGUCUGAGUAAUAGUCCAUUGUGUUCACAGUUUCUUUAUCCAUUCAUCUGUUGAAGGGCAUCUAGGUUGGUUCCACAGUUUGGCUAUUGUGAAUUGUGCUGCUAUGAAUGUUGAUAUGGCUGUGUCACUGUAAUAUGCUGAUUUUAAGUCCUUUGUGUAUACACCAAGGAUUGAGGUAGCUGGGUCAAAUGGUGGUUCCAUUCUAAGUUUUUUGAUUCUAAGGAAUCACUAAGACUUUAUUAUUAUUAUUAUUAUUAUUAUUAUAUUUUGAGACAGGGCCUCACUAAGUUACUUAGGGCCUGGCGCUAAGUUGCUGAAGCUGCCUUUCAACUUGGAAUCUUUCCACCUCAGCCUCCCAAGUCACUGGGAUUACAGGUGUAUGCCACCAAGCCCAGCUAAAAUACUUUUAAUACAAAAAAAAAAAAAAUGGAAAGAAGAAAUCAAUGAUUUAGAAAAGAGUGUCUUAAAACCUAAUAACAUUUACUUACCCAAAAGAUUUCCUGGUGGAAGACUCCGUGGUCUGAGUGCAUCCCACCCAGGUUUAAGAUCUUAACUUGACUAAGAUCUAACUGGCCCUGCAGGAUCCUGAUAAUAACAUAGAUUCAUCCCAAGACCAAGCAGAUCUCAGCACUUCAAUUGUCUAGAUAUUUCAAAGCCAUCCUUGAAACUUGAGCAGGCCCUGAACUUAUAAUAAAUGGGACCCUAAGGAGGGGUAAACUUGCUUCCCUAAAACCAAAGCAGGCAGUUCUGAAUGAAUUUUGGUAAUGAACUACCUUUUGAAAAGCAUGCAUAUUGGGUGAGAAAAUCUUUGAAAAAAUGGUAAACCCCAUGAAUCUCAGAAUGAAGGAGAAUUCCAGUCUUGCUCUGACACUCACUUAUUGAGUAACUUAAAGGGUUUUUCCUAUUGUUGUAAUCUUAGUUUGCAUGUCCUUUCAUUCAUCUUUACAAAUUUAUAGUGCAGUUAUCAUAAGCCAGACACUGUUUCUGUUCUGAGUAAAACACAUCAAAAUUUAUCCCUGGGGGUGUACACUUAUAAUCCAGCUACUCAGAAGGCUGAGGCAGGAAGAUCACAAGUUUGAGGCCAACCUCAGCAACUUAGAGAAACUGUCACAAAGAGGAAGGAUGGGUGCACUGCUUUUAGGGGAUCUGGACUGCAGCUGCCAUUGCGAGGACUAGCAAGGUUGGCUCCUGGAUCUAGUGUAGGCAUUGAACUGUGACUUGUGGCCUGAGCUCUCAAAGUUCAGAUGGAACCUUGGAAGGACAUCUGGACACAGCUGAUUUGCUCAAGUUAGCUGUUUCUGCUGUGUCUCACUGGGAGCCUGGGGCAAAGAAGUCUCCCCUUCUCCCAGAGCCUUGUCUCCUUUCCCGUUACUCCUCUACUUCUUUUUCUUCUCUUCUUCUCACUAAGAUUCCCCUGCACAUUUUCCCCUAUCUCUUCUUUUGCUUGUAUAAGCUCAUUUUCCCUUGUUCCUAAACCUUCUGCCUCCUAGGGUUCUCACCUUCAUAACCUUCCAGCUUCUAUCCUGUCCCCUCCCUGAGCUGAUAGAAUGAGAAGUAUCUGGCUGGGGUCAAAGAGAGAAAGGCUACAGGGCUAAAUGGAGAACCUAUUUUUAAAUCUGAUCUUGUGGCUGAGUAAUUCCAACUCCACCACACUUUGAGCUCAUCGGAACUGAAUGAGGGAAAGUCAUGGCUCUAUUAUUGGCCACAAAAGGAAUAGGCACAAGAACACUCACUGUACCUUUGGGGGAAGAACGUGGUAAAGGUUCUAGUCUCUCACUUUUGGCUGUUUGCUGUAUUGUCAAGGUGGUUAUUGCUGUUUUCCUUCCUAUCCCUCCAUACUUUCAGGCACCUAAGUCACCUUGAAAGUCAAAACAAGGCUUACCUUCACUUUGCACAGGUAUAUGGCAGGAAGCCUUGCUAGCUGCAGGCAAAAGUCCCAGAGUUGCAAGCUGGCUGGUCUCCUAAGUUGGCCAGAAGGUAAUUAGCCUGUGUUAUGGAAACUCAGCACUAACUAAUGGAGUUAGACAAUGCAUGCAUUUUUAAAAAAAUAGAGACAAAUAAACAAUUGACAAUAGUGAUCUUAUUCUCAGAAAGUCCUGUCUGGGUGUCAGAGCAGGGAGGGCAGGCAAAACAGAUAAAGGCAGAAGUGUCCCAGCUGAGGAAUGCAAGUGCUGGGGCAUUUCAGGAUCAGAGACAAAGGAGGCACAGCUAUUAAAGUGAAACCCUUUGGAAUUGAAACACUGCUACAUAUACUAACAAUGUAAUUCUUAUAUCGCUCCAGUAAGGGAAGUAGGAUAGGUGUAAUGUUACUUUAUAGAUAGGAAACAAGAUCAGAAAAGUCAUAUGACUUGCGCAAACCUCAUAGUAAGAGGGAAAGGCAGGGUUUCCAGCCAGGUGUGCCCUUCGUAAAUUACCAUAAUUAUCCAAAAGCUUGCCUAGCAGUAAUGUGGUAAGACAAUGAUAGUGUUGGGAACUCAGAUCUUCUUUAUUCUAGUUUAAAUGUCUUUAUUUUUACCUUAAAAUGCCUAGGUAACCAAACUGGGUAAUCAAAUUUCUUUUCCUCAGGCUCUUGUAAUGAUUCCUCUAAUCAGUGCUGCCUCUGAACAAAUACCAAUAAAAUUACAUAGAGGGAAGCUUUACAGACCAGCUCAGGGCGUGUCCUAUUACAUCCUGUCUUUUGAAACAAUAAACAUGGCACCUUAUCUGGAGAGUAGAAGAAGUGUUCUACUUUCAGCAGGGGUGGCUUUUGUCUUCAAAGGGAAAGCUCAAUAAUCUAAUCUUUAACAGAUUGAGCCAGCAUUAGUAUUAGGAGGCAGGGCUGUCCUGUGGGAACCAAGUUCAGUGCAACUUAGAGAUCAUCUGGAUUGUCCUUCCGGGGCUCUUGAACCUGCUAGAGAAUUCCACUUACUUCUGGGUGGAAUUAGUGUCUUACCAUGUCUUGUCAUUACCAUUAGUGUCUUAGCUCAUAGUAAGACAGACACUUUCUAUCUGAGCUAUAGACAAUGCUCCCUGGCUCGAGGGUUGCCAGAAAGGGGGGUCCCCAAAUUUGUCCUGAUUUCCUUAUGCUAUUUUUUUUCUUUUUUCUUUUGCAGUACUGGGGAUUAAACCCAAGGGCACUCUACCCCUAAGCUACAUUCUCAACCCUUUUUAUUUUGAGAUAGGUUGUUAAAUUUCCAAGGCUGGCCUCAAACUUGGGAUCCUCCUGCCUCAGUCUCCCAAGUUGUUGGGAUUACAGGCAUGUACCGCUGCUCCCUGCUCAUUCUGACAUUUUCUUAGAAAGCACAAAGCUCUCCAUUUACACACUCAACUCAUCCAAGCUAUUGUGAAAAUUCAAAAAAUAUUCUGAUCUCUUGGAUGGACAAUCAUUCACUUUGGAGAUCCAAUACUUUUUUGAUUUAUCUUGGUUUUGGUUUUUAAAAUAGUAAAAAAAAAAAAAAAACCUAAUAUUUACAAUUAGCCAGCUGGACUCAGUUGAGAUUACCCCAAUUUUGUUGGCAAUAUCCAAGGCAUCAAAAUAAAGAGCCAGUGAAAAUCUGCUUUCGUCUCCCCAUAGGGUCUGACCAGAGUGUUGACCUUGGCCACAUCAAUGCCAUAGAGUUUCUUCAUAGCCCAUUUGGUCUGCUGCUUGUUGACCUUGACAUACACCAUGAGCACAAGUGUGAUGUCAAUUUCCUCCUUCAAGGCUGACUCAGAGGUCAAGGAGAAUUGAUGAUGGCACAGUGGUUAAGAUUCUUUCCCCUGGGUGCUGUUCUGAGGGUAUUUGGGCUGUCUCUAGUCACAAUGUCUUAGGCCACCAGAAGGUGGAUGUCCUAUGGGUCUUCUGUGUGGCUGUGGAUAUUUUUAGCACUGCCUUCUUGGCCUUCAAAGCCUUGUCUCUCACUUUGGUGUUGGGAGCAGCAGGUGUUUCCUUCUUCACUUUUGGUACCAUCUUUGUGAAGGGCCCAAUACUGUUUUAUUUAUUUAUUUUGGUACCCGGGAUUGAAUCCAAGGGUGCUUAAACCACUGAACCAUAUCUCCAGCCCCUUUUAAAAUAUUUUAAUUAGAGACAGGGUCUCACUGAGUUGCUUAGGUCCUCACUAAAUUGCUGAGAUUGGCUGUGAACUUGUGAUCCUCCUGCCUCAGCUUCCCGAGGCACUGGGAUUACAAGCAUGUGCCACUGUGCCUGGCUUUCCAAUACUGGUGUUAACAUAAGUGAGGCUUUGUUUCUAUACGAAAUAAAAGUUAGCAGGGGGGAGCUCUCAGCCACGCAAACAAACAAGUAUUUGUAAAGACACAGCAAAAGGGCCAGCAAAAUCCUGGUUGAUUUUCUGUGCCAGUAUAAUGUGCCAAAUUACUGUUUCCUCCUAUUUCACUUAGUUUUUUUUAUUGGGUAAUAGUCUUAGCAGCAGAGAGGCCCAAGAGUAACUUGGGCCCAGAAAGGCUGAACCAUUUCUCCAAGUUUACUCAACAAAAUAGCAACUCCUGGUUUAGGAAUGACCAUGAGACUAGAGUCAGCCUCACAUGGAUGUUCCAAGUUUAGCUACAGUACCAAAGACAUCAAAAGGCCACUUUCCUGAAUUCUAUUCAUUGAGAGCAACAUUCUCUCAUUUGAAAUUGUCAAGAUCAUGAUCCUAGCUCCUAGAGCUUUUACCUCACUGUAAAAAAAAAAAAAAAAACAAUCUUAUCGCCUGGGAUUCAACACCACGUGGAGACAUGUUAGAGGGCAACAAACCAUUGCCUGUUAGCUGUGGAAAAACCUAGACUGAGCACCCCCAGAGCAGAGGGCUCAUUGAAAGUCAUGUUCACAAAGCCUAGGUCAGAGCUUGGAACACAAAUGGCCCUUGAUACUUACUGAGUCAAUGAAUGCACCUGAACAUUUGAUUUUUGCAAGAUGAGAAAGAUGGCUCCUGUUGCUUAUUUCUCUGUGCUCUGAUUGGGCCCAACAUGCUUUGAAAGGGUCAUUAAACCAACUGUGUUAGCAAAUGCCAAGCUAGUAGCUCCAGCAGAAAGGGCCCAACUCCCGGUGGUAUGGAAAACAGGUUCUUACUGCCCUCUGGUGGCCAGGAAGAUUUCGGCCGCCAAAGUCCCAUAGUGGCCCUGAGGCCUUCAACUCAAAUGCCUCCCGCCAAGAGCAUCUGCUGGCUUCAUGGACACACCCCUUCCACCACAGGAGAGUUCUUGGUCUGUGGGCUGGAAAGAGGCUAUCCAACAUCCUUGGAGGAAGCAGCUCAUUCCUUUCCUCAGAGCAGAUGAGAAAGUCCAGAAGUUAAAAGCAAACCCUUUAAAGUGAAUCAACAUCCAGAGAAUGGUUCUGUGCUCUUAAGAGGUUCUCAAAUUAAAAAAAAAAAAAUUAAAUUAAAUUUAAAAAAUCAAAGAAAAUAAUUUCCAGUCCAGAAUGUUUAGAUUUUGAAUUAUUGGGGAUUUUCAGGUCAGGUCACCCUUCUGAGCACAAAAAACCCUCAGAAGCCCUUUCCAAACUUGUAUUGCUACUGUUCCAUGAAUGUAACCCCAUGGAAGGGAAAGGGCAACUGAAAAUCCAAACCAAUUACAGAAAAAAUGAUGACUCUCCUCAUAAACCUACAGGAGGCUUCUCAGUUUUGUUUUGUUUUAGAUGUGUUCCAGAUGAACAAAAGCAACAACGAAAAACCUAAACUGCUGCAGGGUCCCCCAAGCCGACACCACUGUGCAGAUGUUGGUGUGCACCCCACAGCUGGUUCCCCAGCACCUGGAACAGUGCCAGUCACAUCAAUAUGUAUUUGGUGAAGGAAUGAAUGGGCUGAGCCUGAAGAGAAAGAGGUACUUUCUGAUAGAAAGCAUUGCAUAUUGGUACCAAAUGCAUUGUGGCAUAUCAGUCAGUCUUAGCUCGCAGAGGAUAUCAUCUCUCCCAUUAAAAACCCUUUUAACCCUGGGCAUGUGGUAGCUUACACCUGUAAUCUCAGCCACUUGGAUUACUGAGGCAGGAAAAUUUCAAGUUCAAAUUCUGCCUAGGCAACUUAGUGAGACUAUGUUUCAAAAUAGAAAAUAGAAAGGAUAGGAAUCUAGCUCAGUGGUAGAGCAUCCUAGAUUCAAUCCACAGUAUGAAAAAAACAAAAACAGUGAUGCUUUCAUAGAAUUCUCAUUGAUUUUUUUUGUUAAUUUGUUUAUUUUUUGAGAGACUGGGGAUCAAACCCAGGGCCUCACACAUGGUAGGCCAGUUUUCCACCACUGAACUACCCCCCCCCCUUUAUCUUUUAAAAAGAUCAUAGAAUUUUAGGACUAGAAGAAACCUCAUAAAUCAUCAUUGCUCUCUUUAUUUGGUUCCAUCUUUUUACUUCACAGAUGAGGAAAAUGAAGCUCAGAGAGGUUAACCAACACACUGAAAUUCACACAGCUAUUUAAUGGAAGAACCUCACGUGGAUCCAAGUCCUCACUCCGGGCACUUUCUAAUGAUGUUCAAAGUUUUUGAUGGUGGCCCACAGUGAAAAGCAUGUGACCCAACAUACACAUGUGCACACAUGCACAACUAAAAAGAAUCCCAUGAAACCACACUCACUUUCCCCAUGUAGCAUCACUCUGGCCUGCUGUGUAUUGUAUUCUAUUUUGAGUUUUUAUACUAUUCUGAUCACCUUUUACUCAAUUAGCUUCACAACUUAAGAACUUUUAAUAUCACUCCACCACAGCAUCUUGCCUAUAUACUGCACUUGUAAAAAGGCUGACAUCUUCCAAAAUCUUCUACUAACAGAACUAGUGUGAUCAAUUUCUUGAGACCUCUUGGCUCAAAGAUUUUUUAUUUUUUGACUUGAUACAAAUACUAUCUCUCACCAAGAAGUUUCAUCUCACUCCCAGGAGUCUGGUCCAGGCAACCCCCCUUUCCAGCCAGAAUAAUCACAAUAAUGCAUUUCUUUUUUUUGCGUGGGGGGAGGUACUGGGGAUUGAACUCAGGGACACUCAACCACUGAGCCACAUCCCAGCCCUAUUUUGAAUUUUAUUUAGAGACAGGGUCUCGCUGAGUUGCUUAGCGCCUUGCUGUUGCUGAGGCUGACUUUGAACUCGUGAUCCUCCUGCCUCAGCCUCCCUCCAGAGCUGCUGGGAUCACAGGCAUGUGCCACCAUGCUUGGCUACACAAGAGUGUAUUUUAAAUGCAGACCAGAGUCAUCAGAGGCGACCUUGUUCCCAUUCUUGAUUGGCCCUCUAACCCCCAAACUGGAAGGGCUUUGCAUCUCUACGUGAAAUAGUAUGCUCUUAUCUCCCACUAGCCUCUCCGCAGCUGUCACUCUCCACCUGCCCUGGGAUCCUGGGAAGUGGGUGGAAGGUGGCCGAUAGAAGUAAAGUGGAGAAAGGUCAGAGGAUGAUAAGUAGGUGGGUCUGAGAAAGUCAUUAACUACAUGAGUGAGUGCAAACAGAUGGAUGUCUGGGUGGUCUUAAGGUGCCAGCAGUCUCUGUCUCUCUCUGAGUCACAAUAUCUUCUCCUUUCUUCUCUCAAUCCCAUUAUUAGAUCAUUUCCUCCACCGUCUCUUCCUCUGACCUCUUCUACUGAAUUCCACCACCUCCUCUCCCCCUCCCCUUUCUUAAUAUGGUAGAAAGAUGAGUUCUUAGCCCUUCCCCUUCUAACUGACUGUUUGGAACUUUCUAUUCCAACUUCUCAUUUUCCUGCUGAGAAUCACAGAUUUUGGCAAGAAAGGCCUUUGUGGUAGCCAAAGCUGGAAACCACCCCACAGCAACCUGGGCACAUUCCCACGGCUCCCUGACACCAGGCAGAAUUUCCAGAGUUGGUGACAAGUCCCCUCUUCUCAGGAGCAGUAUAAAAUCUGCAGGUUGCCCCCAUCCCUUACCAAUGGGGCUUGAUCUGGCUGCCAGGCAGGGUAGAUAAAGUAGUGACAACCACCAGCCAGGACAGAAGGUGAGCAACCAUUUUGAAUAUUUCUUGCCCAUUUUAGAUUUCUCAGGUACUCUUUCUAAGACUAGGGUUUCAGAUCUCAGGUUCUGCUCCUCAAAGAUUAAGAUAAAUCUGGGGGACUAGGGGCUGGGGAUGUGGCUCAAGCGGUAGCGCGCUUGCCUGGCAUGCGUGCGGCCCGGGUUUGAUCCUCAGCACCACAUACAAAAAAGAUGUUGUGUCUGCCGAUAAGUAAAAAAUAAAUAUUAAAAAUCUCUCUCUCUCUCUCUCUCUCUCUCUCCCUCUCUCACUCUCUCUUUAAAAAAAAAAAAUCUGGGGGACUAGAGGGAGCCACUCUAACUCUGCCACUGAUGUACUGAUUGAUCUUCAGUCAGUUUCUUGACCUCUCUGGUUCUCAUUGCUGUGUGAUCUUGGGUAAGUUAUUUCACCUCUAAUGACUCGGUGAUCUCACUUUUAAAACGUGAGAUUAGACUUUAAAAAUAACAAUUAACUGGUGAUCUUCAAUGGUCCUUUAAAUUGUUCAGGGAAUUAAUUUAUUGUCUUGAAAACUGUCAAGCAAAGGAACUACAUCAAGCAUUAAUCUUCAUUUUCCUGUUUUGACUGCAUCCCUGGCUAGUCAGAUAGUUGUCAAGAGAAAACACCCCCUUUAAAGGUAUUCUUACAAAUAAAGAAGUGAUGGACUAUCACCACUCUGCAACACUCAGUGAAUCGACAAAUCCAGACAUUGUGCACCAAGGACUACUCACAGCACAAAAGAAGAGACAAGCAGACAUUAUGUGCUUCCCCACGAAAGAACAUAACACCACCCACAAUCUUGCCAAAAAGAUCGAACCUAGUCGGAUCAAACGUCUAGAUCUAGCAAUCAAUUCACAGGAAAUAAAGAGGACAGAGAACACGUUGAACUGCACUCAGAGUGUGCAAUCAGCAAAAUCCAAACCGUGAGAAACUUUACAGGGAACACACCCUGGGUUCUGCAAAACAUGAAGUUUAAUAAAAAUAAAAAUAAGAAGGAAAGAGGAAGGUGCAAAUAGGAACUUUUUUUUUUUUUUUGUACCAGGGGUUGAACUCAAGGGCACUCAACCACUGAGCCACAUCCCCAGCCCUACUUUGUAUUUUAUUUAGAGACAGGGUCUCACUGAGUAGCUUAUUGCCUUGCUUUUGCUGAGGCUGCCUUUGAACUCAGGAUCCUCCUGCCUUGGCCUCCCAAACUGCUGGGAUUACAGGCAAGGGCCACCACACCCAGCAUGCAAUAGGAACUUGUAGAACUUGUAGAAUAAAAGAGGGUUAUAAAAUGUGUUGACCAACUUUCCUUCCCUCUGUCCUACCUUCUUUCCUCCUUCUCCUAUUUUUGUGGUUGGGGAUGGAGCUCAGGGUUUUAUCCAUGCGGGGCAAGGGCUCUGCCACUGAGCUACCUCCCCAGGGCUUUUUAUUUUUUUCGUUUUGAGAUAGGGUCACAUUAAAUUGCUAAGGCUGGUCUUGAACAUGCAAUCUUCCUAUCUCAGUUCCCCAAUCACUGGGAUUACCAGUGUGAGCCACAACACCAGCGAUGAUCAUUUUUAAUGGGGAAGACUACAUGAGAAUUACAGUCAGAUGAUAAAGCUAAGAAGACACAAAGAAAUCAUUACUUUGAGUGAUGAGAGCGAUCAUUUGGAGGAUGGGAGGAGGAUGUGAGGGGACCUGGGUACAGAAGGGCUUCCAAGACGCUAGCUGACCUACAUUUCUUAUGCAUAAUUUUCUAUAAAUCUAGGUUUAUUAUACAAUAAGACAGCAUCUAAAUGACAGAAUAGGGAAAGCACCCUUAAUUUCCCGAAAGAUAAAACACUGGGAUUCUGAAAUUCUCAAUCGGAGAAGCUCAGGGGUUCUAAUCCUAAAAUCAAUCUUGGACAAUAAGAAAGUAGGAGCAAAAAGGCCAGGAUUGUUCUGUGAGAAGAUCCAGGCAGACCCGACAUCAAGUCUGACUCUGCCACCUGUUUGCUGAGAUGCUGAAAAAUUCAGUUACCACUCUAACUCCAUUUUCCUCACCUGCUAAGUGGAGGUAAUCAUACUCCUCCCUUGCUGUUAUGUCAAUCAAAUGCCCUUCAGAGGGCUUAGCAUAGACCCUGCGCAGAGUUAGCACUCAACACAGGAGCAUUUAUAAUCAUAAUCACCUUUGUUAUUACUAUUUAUCUGGAUUUUAGGCCACUCCUAACCAGAGAUAAACCAGAAAGCAAAUUUCUCCUUAGAAAAGGCGUUGGAGAGCACAGCCCCUCUGGGACGCUAGCGGUGAGGCUGGCUGUGGAGGAAAGUUUACCAAACUUCAGGCUGGCUCUCUCCAGAGUGACACCCAGGGGACAGGGCGCCUCCUCACUUUAUUCUUUCCCACAUCACACUCAACCUGGCCUCCACCCUAAGCUAGUUGCAUCAAAACCCAUCAACUUAGUGGCCCACCUGUUCAUGGUUCUUCUAGUCUCUGGUACCUCUGGGUACCACUUGUUAUUUCCAUCAGUCACUGGAGCCACUUUGUGAGAGGGAGGCCACCAGGAUGAGCAGAAACCCAUGGGAAGCAGCAGAGCCCACGGAUUCAUCAGUUCACUGCACUGAUGAUCUUCAGUCAGUUUCUUGACCUCUCUGUUCUCAUUGACCUCUCUGGUUUCAUCUGUAAAAUGGGGAUAAGAGAACCUACUUAUAUGGUCAUUAAAAGGAUUAAAUGACUUAAAAAUGUAAAUUGCUUUUGACAAUGCCUGGCACAUUGUGUGGGGUGGGGUGGGGGGGAUUGCAUUCUGUUUUUCAGACUUCCUAAGUAUUAGCUCCUUCCCUCACUAAUUCAGUGAUCUUGGAUAAGUUGUUUAUUUCUCUAUAUCUCUGCCUUUUUACCUAUAAAAUAAGGUUUACAAUAGUAGUCAGCUUUCUGCACAGCCAAGGAAAUGAUCAAAAGGAAAAGGAAACCUAUGGAAUGGGAGGAAAUAUACAACCAUAAGCCAUAGACUAAUUGUUCAUGCCCCCCAUAAUUCAUACCUGACAUCUUCACCCCUAGGGUGAUGCUAUUGGAAGGAGGCCUUUGGGAGGUGAUUGGAUCCCAAGAUGGAGCCCUCAUGAAUGGGAUUAGUGUCCCCCAAAAAAGGACUCCAGAGAGCUCCUCCCCAUGUCCAUCCUGUGAGGACACAGUGAGAAGAAGGCCUCUAUGAAGAGGGAGGUCAGCAGAUGUCAGAUCUGCUGUCACCCAAUCUUGAACUUCCCAGCCUUCAACUCUGUGAGAAAGAAAUUUUGGUUUUCUACAACCCAACUAGUCUAUGGCAUUCUGUAGCAUCACAGAUUAAUUAAGACCCCAUGUGUCUGAUAUAGGGGUCAUAUCCAAAAUAUGUAAGGAACUCCUACAACUCAAUAGCACAAAAGUAAAUAACCCAAUUUUAAAAUGGCAUUUCUCUUCUAAGGAAGAGAAACCUGUGACCACCAGGUAUAUGAAAAUGUGCUCAACAUCAGGAAUCACUGGGGAAAUGCAAAUCAAAACCAAACCUGCUGGGAUGCUAUUAGGAAAAAACAACAAAAGCAAAAGGUAAUUAUUAAUGAGGAUGUGGAACAAAGGGAACUUCUGCAUACCUUUAGUAGGAAUGUAAAUUAGUGCAGUUAGAAGACACUUGUUUGGAUAAGUAUUCUCCAAAGGCCUAAGGGUGAAAGCUUAGUCCACAAACCUGUGGUGUUAUUGGGAGGUGGUGGAAUCUUUAAGAGGUACGGUCUAGAGGGAGGAAGUUAGGAUAUUGGGGUGUAUCCUUGUAGGGGUAUUGGAACCUCAUUUCUCUUAAUCUCUCUCAUUCCUUCCUGGCUGCCAUAAGGUAGCAGUUUCCUCCACCAUGUACCCAUGAACUCCAACCAUGAGGUACUAUCUUGCCAUAGGCCCUAAAGCAGUAGUUCAAUUGAACACAAACUGAAACCUCCAAAACUGUGAGCUAAGGUAAUAUUUUCUUCUGUAUAACUUUAUUACCUCAGGUAUUUUGUUAUAAUAAGAAAGCUGAUUAACACAGGAGGACAUUUUACAAAUGAAAAAAAUUGCCAUGUGAUCCAACAAUCCCAAUUCUGCAUAUUUAUCCAAAAGAAUUAAAAUGAGAAUUUUGAAGAAAUAUCUGCUGUAUCAUGUUCACUGCAGCAUUAUUCUGAAUCAUGAAGUCAUGGAAGCAACCUAUGUGUCCAUCAAUGGAUGAAUAGAUAAAAAAUAUAUAUAGCAUAUAUACAUUCAACAGAUAAAUUGUGAUAUACCCAUUCACCUGUAAAUGGACUUUAGGACUUUUUCAAAUUCUGGGCUGUCACCAAUCAUACCUCAAUAAAGUGACUUUAACAAAAGAUAUUCAAAUAAAAAUAAGGGAAAUGUAUGAACGGCUAAUAAAUACAUGCCUUCACACCCAACUUCUGGGAUUCUUAUGAACUGCUAGUGGGGAUAUAAACUGAUGAAGAACUUUGGAAAAUUGGCAGUUUUAAAGAAAUGAAGUUCAUGCAAACAUUGUACCUGAAUAUUCAUAGCAGCUCAACUUGUAAUAGUCCAGAAUUUGAAAAAAAAUCCAAAGUCCUUCCACAAAUGCAGAAAUAUAUUAUGGCUCAUUCAAAAACUGGAAUAUUUCUCAAAAAUAAAAAGAAAUGAACAACUAUUAUUUGCAGAAACCUGAGUGGGUCUCUAUAACUAUGACAUAUGCUGAGCUAAAUGUGAAACUAUACUUUAUGUACAUAUAUAUAAAAUUUUAGAACAGGUAAAAUUAAUCUAAAAUUAUGACUAACAUAGAUCGGGGAGUCAGAUGUUUUAUAUUUUAGACUUUUUUUUGAUUGAAUGAAGAAGGGCACAAGAAAUUUUAUAGGGUAACAGAAACAUUCUGUAUUUUGAUUUUGAUGAGGUUUAUAAAAUAUAUACAUUUGUCAAAAUUCAUCAAAUGGCAUUUCCUGUAAAUUAUGCCUCAAUAAAUUUGAUUUAAAGAAAAAAAAUAGUACCC